GAUGAACGCUGGCGGCGUGCCUAAUACAUGCAAGUCGAGCGAACAGACGAGGAGCUUGCUCCUCUGACGUUAGCGGCGGACGGGUGAGUAACACGUGGAUAACCUACCUAUAAGACUGGGAUAACUUCGGGAAACCGGAGCUAAUACCGGAUAAUAUAUUGAACCGCAUGGUUCAAUAGUGAAAGACGGUUUUGCUGUCACUUAUAGAUGGAUCCGCGCCGCAUUAGCUAGUUGGCAAGGUAACGGCUUACCAAGGCAACGAUGCGUAGCCGACCUGAGAGGGUGAUCGGCCACACUGGAACUGAGACACGGUCCAGACUCCUACGGGAGGCAGCAGUAGGGAAUCUUCCGCAAUGGGCGAAAGCCUGACGGAGCAACGCCGCGUGAGUGAUGAAGGUCUUCGGAUCGUAAAACUCUGUUAUUAGGGAAGAACAAAUGUGUAAGUAACUAUGCACGUCUUGACGGUACCUAAUCAGAAGGCCACGGCUAACUACGUG
This 497-nucleotide ribosomal RNA is filed under the name uncultured bacterium. RNAcentral describes it as "partial 16S ribosomal RNA". It matches the Rfam family "Bacterial small subunit ribosomal RNA", at positions 28 to 507 of the family's 1533-position model. The record is from RNAcentral.